GGAUGUGAGGGCGAUCUGGCUGCAACAUCUGUCACCCCAUUGAUCGCCAGGGUUGAUUCGGCUGAUCUGGCUGGCUAGGCAGGUGUCCCCUUCCUCCCUCACAGCUCCAUGUGUGUCCCUCCCGAAGCUGUGUGCUCAGUAGAAGAGGACAGCCUUCCCUGAAUAGAGACUGACCAGUCUUUGGUCGAGGGUAUACGAGUAGCUGCGCUCCCCUGCUAGAACCUCCAAACAAGCUCUCAAAUGUUCACCAGGCAUUCUUAUUAAGUUGAUAACUUUAGCUUCUGGACAUAGUCUUUGGUUUCC
Molecule: non-coding RNA, 303 nt
Organism: Erinaceus europaeus (western European hedgehog)
Lineage: Eukaryota; Metazoa; Chordata; Mammalia; Eulipotyphla; Erinaceidae
Source: Rfam